UGCAUCGAUGAAAGAACGCAGCGAAAUGCGAUACGUAGUGUGAAUUGCAGAAUUCCGCGAAUCAUCGAGUCUUUGAACGCAAGUUGCGCCCGAGGCUUGUCCAAGGGCAUUUCCGCUAGAGCGUCACC
RNAcentral lists this ribosomal RNA (128 nucleotides) under Lindbergia brachyptera. RNAcentral describes it as "partial 5.8S ribosomal RNA". It matches the Rfam family "5.8S ribosomal RNA", at positions 29 to 154 of the family's 154-position model. From Rfam's summary of the family: 5.8S ribosomal RNA (5.8S rRNA) is a component of the large subunit of the eukaryotic ribosome. It is transcribed by RNA polymerase I as part of the 45S precursor that also contains 18S and 28S rRNA. Lineage: Eukaryota; Viridiplantae; Streptophyta; Bryopsida; Hypnales; Leskeaceae. The record is from RNAcentral.